CUUCGGGUAGCAAUAUUUGGAGUGUCUAGCGGCGAAAGGGUGCGUAACACGUGGCUACCUGCCUCAAAAUGGGGGAUAAUCCCGCGAAAGCGGGACUAAUACCGCAUGUGAUCGAAAGAUUAAAGCUGGGGAUCGUAAGACCCGGCGUUUUGAGAUGGGGCUGCGGCCUAUCAGCUAGUUGGUGAGGUAAUGGCCCACCAAGGCAAAGACGGGUAGCUGGUCUGAGAGGACGACCAGUCACACUGGAACUGAGACACGGUCCAGACACCUACGGGUGGCAGCAGUCGAGGAUUUUUCUCAAUGGGCGAAAGCCUGAAGGAGCGACGCCGCGUGGGGGAUGAAGGUCUUCGGAUUGUAAACCCCUGUCAUCUGGGAACAAUGUUGUUCACCCAACACGUGAACAAUUGAUAGUACCGGAAGAGGAAGACGUGGCUAACUCUGUGCCAGCAGCCGCGGUAAUACAGAGACGUCAAGCGUUGUUCGGAUUCAUUGGGCGUAAAGGGUGCGCAGGCGGCUCGUUAAGUCGGAUGUGAAAUCUCACAGCCUAACUGUGAUAGGUCAUUCGAAACUGGCGGGCUCGAGGACUGGAGAGGAGACUGGAAUGGUCGGUGUAGCGGUGAAAUGCGUAGAGA
This 632-nucleotide ribosomal RNA is filed under the name uncultured bacterium. RNAcentral's name for it is "bacterial SSU rRNA". It matches the Rfam family "Bacterial small subunit ribosomal RNA", at positions 70 to 696 of the family's 1533-position model. The record is from RNAcentral.